Molecule: small RNA, 618 nt
Filed under: uncultured Inocybe
Lineage: Eukaryota; Fungi; Basidiomycota; Agaricomycetes; Agaricales; Cortinariaceae
Description: eukaryotic LSU rRNA
Rfam family: 5.8S ribosomal RNA (bases 237-390)
Source: RNAcentral
UUGAAAUAUAAACUUGGUAGACUGUUGCUGGCAUUUAUUUUGCAUGUGCACGUUUAUCAUCUUUUAUUUUUCCACCUGUGCACCCUUUGUAGACUUGAUUUUGGGACUGCCUUGUUUAAACAUGCAAUGUUUAUGUUUUUUUUUGGCUUUUCCUUUUAUUUAUACAAGUCUAUGUUUUUAUGUUAACACAAAAUAUGGGAUAAACUUGUUAGGACCUAUAAAAAAAAAAGUGUAACAACUUUCAGCAACGGAUCUCUUGGCUCUCGCAUCGAUGAAGAACGCAGCGAAAUGCGAUAAGUAAUGUGAAUUGCAGAAUUCAGUGAAUCAUCGAAUCUUUGAACGCAUCUUGCGCUCCUUAGUAUUCUGAGGAGCAUGCCUGUUUGAGUAUCAUUAAAUUAUCAACUGCGCCAGCUUUUUGGAGUUGGCUGUAGAUUGGAUUAUGGGAGUUUUUGCAGGCUUUUUAGAAAGUCAGCUCUCCUAAAAUGCAUUAGCCAGUGCCUUUUGUUGGUUCCUUAGGUGGUGAUAGCUUAUCUACGCCUUUAUGUGUGCCUUCAUUUUCAAAGGUAAUACUGCUUAUAGUCGUCUUGUUUUUCCAAGACAAUAAUGUCUAAUGACAAA